UGGGCAACCUGCCCCUCUCUCUGGGAUAACCCCCGGGGAAACCGGAGCUAAUACCGGAUACUCCGGCUGGAUCGCAUGGUCCGGCCGGGAAAGGUCCACCGGAGAGGGAUGGGCCCGCGGCCUAUCAGCUUGUUGGUGGGGUAACGGCUCACCAAGGCUACGACGGGUAGCUGGUCUGAGAGGACGACCAGCCACACUGGAACUGAGAUACGGUCCAGACCUCCUACGGGAGCA
Molecule: ribosomal RNA, 234 nt
Filed under: uncultured bacterium
Lineage: Bacteria
Description: partial 16S ribosomal RNA
Rfam family: Bacterial small subunit ribosomal RNA
Source: RNAcentral